GUGGGGAAUUUUGCACAAUGGGGGAAACCCUGAUGCAGCAACGCCGCGUGAGUGAAGAAGGCCCUUGGGUUGUAAAGCUCUUUCGGCUGGGAAGAAGGGCUGUAUGGCUAAUAUCCAUAUAGUUUGACGGUACCAGAAGAAGAAGCACCUGCUAACUUCGUGCCAGCAGCAGCGGUAAUACGAAGGGUGCAAGCGUUGUUCGGAAUCACUGGGCGUAAAGAGCGCGUAGGCGGGUUUGUAAGUCACAUGUGAAAUCCCUAGGCUUAACCUGGGACGUGCAUGCGAUACUGCAAGUCUUGAAUGUCUGAGAGGGAGGCGGAAUUCCAGGUGUAGAAGUGAAAUUCGUAGAUAUCUGGAGGAACAUCCGAGGCGAAGGCGGCCUCCUGGCAGAACAUUGACGCUAAAGUGCGAAAGCGCGGGGAGCAAACAGGAUUAGAAACCCGGGUAGUCC
Molecule: ribosomal RNA, 451 nt
Filed under: uncultured bacterium
Lineage: Bacteria
Description: bacterial SSU rRNA
Rfam family: Bacterial small subunit ribosomal RNA
Source: RNAcentral